Limulus polyphemus (Atlantic horseshoe crab) is the source of this 347-nucleotide long non-coding RNA. RefSeq lists it as uncharacterized. NCBI's taxonomy places the organism in Eukaryota, Metazoa, Arthropoda, Merostomata, Xiphosura, Limulidae. The transcript is spliced from 4 exons. The record is from RefSeq and is a predicted model, not a curated record.
UGUUAUUGUGCUUAUUUCGUUCUUUUCAAACAAGAUUAUAUAUGAAGAGAUUAUUCAAGAUGUUCUAGACUCUAGAGCCUGCCAAAGAUUGGGAUAGUCCUAACUCAGUUAGGUCAACAUGGUGGCCAGGAUUACAGUAUUAACAACAAGGAUAUGGAGGACUUGCCAAAACUAAAGGAGUUCCAACUGAGUUUGAAUCAUGUGGUCAAGAGAACAGUUAUAGACAGCAAGGAUAUGGAGGGUUUGAAGAGUAUGGAGACUACCACAGAUGGGGAGGAUCCCCAACUAAUUUGGACAACAUGGUGGAUCAGAGCACAGUGCAGGUAGCAAGGAUACAGAAGACUUGG